RNAcentral lists this ribosomal RNA (374 nucleotides) under uncultured organism. RNAcentral describes it as "partial 16S ribosomal RNA". It matches the Rfam family "Bacterial small subunit ribosomal RNA", at positions 527 to 896 of the family's 1533-position model. The record is from RNAcentral.
GUAGGUGGCAAGCGUUGUCCGGAAUUAUUGGGCGUAAAGCGCGCGCAGGCGGUUCUUUAAGUCUGAUGUGAAAGCCCACGGCUCAACCGUGGAGGGUCAUUGGAAACUGGAGAACUUGAGUACAGAAGAGGAAAGCGGAAUUCCACGUGUAGCGGUGAAAUGCGUAGAGAUGUGGAGGAACACCAGUGGCGAAGGCGGCUUUCUGGUCUGUAACUGACGCUGAGGCGCGAAAGCGUGGGGAGCAAACAGGGAUUAGAUACCCUGGUAGUCCACGCCGUAAACGAUGAGAGCUAAGUGUUAGGGGGGGUUCCGCCCCCUUAGUGCUGCAGCUAACGCAUUAAGCACUCCGCCUGGGGAGUACGGCCGCAAGGCUG